RNAcentral lists this non-coding RNA (100 nucleotides) under Thalassiosira oceanica CCMP1005. The record is from RNAcentral. Lineage: Eukaryota; Bacillariophyta; Thalassiosirophyceae; Thalassiosirales; Thalassiosiraceae.
GGAUAUAAUUGUAAAUAUAAUUCUAUGAUCAAUCUAAAUAUGUCAGGAUUGUAAAAUAGCAGCAUAAGAUUGAAAAUAAAUUAGUAAUACAAUUAUAUUC